GUACGUAAGUACAUUGGUAGAGGAGCAUUCUUAAAGGAGCGAAGCAGUACCGAUAAGGAGCUGUGGACUUUUAAGAAGAGAGAAUGCCGGAAUGAGUAGCGAGAUGGAGGUGAGAAUCCUCCAGGCCGAAUAUCCAAGGUUUCCAGAGUAAAGCUGAUCUGCUCUGGGUAAGUCGGGGCCUAAGGCGAGGCUGAGAGGCGUAGUCGAUGGACAACAGGUUGAGAUUCCUGUACCGUGUAUCAUCAGAACUGUGGGGACACAGAAGGACAACACAUCCCGGGAAUGGGAAUACCGGGGCAAGCGAGGUAGGAGUACGGUUGGCAAAUCCGCCGUACAAUCCGAAAACGUGACGCGGAGCGAACUAAAGUAGUGAAGUGUGUGAUUCCAGCUGUCAAGAAAAGCCGCUAUUGUGUGAUGCACGCCCGUACCGUAAACCGACACAGGUAGAUGAGGAGAGAAUCCUAAGGCCGGCGGGAGAAGCAUUGUUAAGGAACUCGGCAAAAUGACCCCGUAACUUCGGGAGAAGGGGUGCCACAGAGAUGUGGCCGCAGAGAAUAGGCUCAAGCAACUGUUUAGCAAAAACACAGGUCUAUGCAAAACCGUAAGGUGAGGUAUAUGGGCUGACGCCUGCCCGGUGCUGGAAGGUUAAGAGGAGAGGUUAGAGCAAUCGAAGCUUUGAAUUUAAGCCCCAGUAAACGGCGGCCGUAACUAUAACGGUCCUAAGGUAGCGAAAUUCCUUGUCGGGUAAGUUCCGACCCGCACGAAAGGCGUAAUGAUUUGAGCGCUGUCUCAACAAUGCACCCGGUGAAAUUGAAAUACCAGUGAAGAUGCUGGUUACCUGCGCCAGGACGGAAAGACCCCAUGGAGCUUUACUCCAGCUUGAUACUGGGAUUCGGUACUGCAUGUACAGGAUAGGUGGGAGGCCGUGAAGCAAGGACGCCAGUCUUUGUGGAGCCAAUGUUGGGAUACCACCCUUGCGGUAUUGGGUUUCUAACCUGCGCCCAUGACCUGGGCGGGGGACAAUGUCAGGUGGGGAGUUUGACUGGGGCGGUCGCCUCCGAAAGGGUAUCGGAGGCGCUCAAAGGUUCCCUCAGGAUGGUUGGAAACCAUCCAGAGAGUGCAAAGGCAUAAGGGAGCUUGACUGCGAGACUGACGGGUCGAGCAGGUACGAAAGUAGGACUUAGUGAUCCGGUGGUAUGAAAGUGGGAUUGCCAUCGCUCAACGGAUAAAAGCUACCCUGGGGAUAACAGGCUUAUCACUCCCAAGAGUUCACAUCGACGGAGUGGUUUGGCACCUCGAUGUCGGCUCAUCGCAUCCUGGGGCUGUAGCAGGUCCCAAGGGUUGGGCUGUUCGCCCAUUAAAGCGGUACGCGAGCUGGGUUCAGAACGUCGUGAGACAGUUCGGUCCCUAUCCGGCGCGGGCGUAGGAUAUUUGAGAGGAGCUGUCCUUAGUACGAGAGGACCGGGAUGGACAGACCGCUGGUGUAUCUGUUGGCUUACCAAGGCCAUGGCAGAGUAGCCAAGUCUGGACGGGAUAAACGCUGAAGGCAUCUAAGCGUGAAGCCCCCCUCAAGAUGAGAUAUCCCAUCGCAAGAGUAAGACCCCUUGAAGAAGACGAGGUAGAUAGGUUAGAGGUGGAAGUGCAGUAAUGUAUGUAGCUGACUAAUACUAAUCGGUCGAGGGCUUAACCAA
Molecule: ribosomal RNA, 1691 nt
Filed under: [Clostridium] citroniae WAL-19142
Lineage: Bacteria; Bacillati; Bacillota; Clostridia; Lachnospirales; Lachnospiraceae
Description: bacterial LSU rRNA
Rfam family: Bacterial large subunit ribosomal RNA
Source: RNAcentral